CGCACAUUGCGCCCGUUGGUUAUCCGACGGGCACGUCUGUUUGAGCGUCAUCUCAACCCUUCGGCCCCGCCUUGUUCUCAGAACCGGGUGGGUGUUCCGGUAGUGAGCCCGGUCGGUCUGACCCGACUUGGUUCCAAAGUGGCACGCUCCAGCGGUACAACCCGACCAGGUCCAAAGAGACGUAGUAAGCCUUAGCAGCUGACUGUUUCGCCGGACGCAAGCGGGCAAAAGCGACCGCCUGAACAAAUCUUAUCACCAAGGUUUGACCUCAGAUCAGACGAGGAUACCCGCUGAACUUAA
This 300-nucleotide unclassified non-coding RNA is filed under the name Orbiliaceae sp. RNAcentral's name for it is "partial contains 5.8S ribosomal RNA, internal transcribed spacer 2, and large subunit ribosomal RNA". The record is from RNAcentral. Lineage: Eukaryota; Fungi; Ascomycota; Orbiliomycetes; Orbiliales; Orbiliaceae.